This 440-nucleotide ribosomal RNA is filed under the name uncultured bacterium. RNAcentral describes it as "partial 16S ribosomal RNA". It matches the Rfam family "Bacterial small subunit ribosomal RNA", at positions 338 to 795 of the family's 1533-position model. The record is from RNAcentral.
CCUACGGGAGGCAGCAGUAGGGAAUAUUGCUCAAUGGGGGAAACCCUGACGCAGCAACGCCGCGUGGGGGAUGAAGGUUUUCGGAUUGUAAACUCCUGUUGUUAGAGAAGAUAAUUACGGUAUCUAACUGCUCAGCACCGGCUGACUCCGUGCCAGCAGCCGCGGUCAUACGGAGGGUGCAAGCGUGCCUCGGAAUCACUGUGCGUAAAGAGCGCGUAGGCGGGUUAGCAAGUAAGAUGUGAAAUCCUAUCGCUUAACCAUAGAAAUUCAUUUGAAACUGGUAUUCUAGAGUAUGGGAGAGGUAGGUGGAAUUCUUGGGGUAGGGGUAAAAUCCGUAGAGAUCAAGAGGAAAACUCAGUGCGAAGGCGACCUGCUAGAACAUAACUGACGCCGAUGCGUGAAAGCGUGGGGAGCAAACAGGAUUAGAUACCCUAGUAGUC